ACGCUCGACACCUACGGAGGCAGCAGUGAGGAAUAUUGGUCAAUGGACGCAAGUCUGAACCAGCCAUGCCGCGUGCAGGAUGACGGCUCUAUGAGUUGUAAACUGCUUUUGUACGAGGGUAAACGCAGAUACGUGUAUCUGUCUGAAAGUAUCGUACGAAUAAGGAUCGGCUAACUCCGUGGCAGCAGCCGCGGUAAUCUGAGCGGGCUGGCAAGGC
This 217-nucleotide ribosomal RNA is filed under the name uncultured bacterium. RNAcentral's name for it is "partial 16S ribosomal RNA". It matches the Rfam family "Bacterial small subunit ribosomal RNA", at positions 328 to 539 of the family's 1533-position model. The record is from RNAcentral.